CAGGAUGCUAGUGUUUAUCUUAAAGAUUUAGUUGGUUCUUUUUCAUGUUUUUUGGAUAAUUUAUUAUGCACGUGUGCAUACGAGUGGUUUUCGGUUUCGUUUGAAAUGUGGGAAAGCUAGUUUUAUGAUUUUCUCAGGAAAAAGUGGUCUGGACACUUGAGUGUUAUCUCUGUUUGAAACUAAAUAAUAUUCUAAUUUACUACGUUUGAAAAAAUAUAAUUGGGAAUUGGGACUUAUAUACUAAUUGUGGGUAAGACUCGACAGUUGAUAAGGUAAAUGAAAAAUUGAGCUAGCGCCAUCAGGUGGCUAAUGGUAGGGACGUAACAAUACCAAUGAAUUGGAGGUAUCCAAAUAUUUUGGUCAUUUUUUUGUUGGCAUUUUUUGGAACACUUUCUAUUCCACUGAAGACUGCUUGAUGGGAAGGGCGGGCCAUCGAGUGCCUUGGAAUGACAUAAAACGUGCGACCUAAUCUCGAAUUCGUCAGCAGUUUAGGAAAAAGGUUUAUGCAGUUUUGAAUAGAGAGAUUCUUUGAGGUAUCAACUGUGGUGAUGGUGGUGGAACUCACAGAAAAGGAUAAGGUGAAUGGCCCUAUUAUAUGUUCGAUAUUUCCAUUUUUACAAAAUCCAGUGUAACGAUUUUUGAAGUCUCUAUUCCGCUUAUCAAGUAAUUUAAUAUAUGAUAAACAUGUACAUUUUGUUAUGUACUGUAAUGUUUUGUUUACAGUAAUUGUAAAAAGAGAGAAAUUCAUUUCUCGCUGUAGUGUUUUAUACUGUAAUUUUAUUAACUGUAAAAAAUAAAUAUAUAUAUAGGCUAGUA
Diachasma alloeum is the source of this 816-nucleotide long non-coding RNA. RefSeq lists it as uncharacterized. The record is from RefSeq and is a predicted model, not a curated record. The transcript is spliced from 2 exons. Lineage: Eukaryota; Metazoa; Arthropoda; Insecta; Hymenoptera; Braconidae.